Monomorium pharaonis (pharaoh ant) is the source of this 11522-nucleotide long non-coding RNA. RefSeq lists it as uncharacterized. The record is from RefSeq and is a predicted model, not a curated record. The transcript is spliced from 2 exons. Lineage: Eukaryota; Metazoa; Arthropoda; Insecta; Hymenoptera; Formicidae.
AUGGAAGAGAAAUCAUAAUUAUAUGUCAACAUUAAUAUAUUCAACUCUAUUUGAUUAUUUUCAAGAACUAUUUAUCACCCGACGGAGCGUGAAAAGGAGGGGAGAGGGGGGGAUUUUUUUCGCUUUUAUCAACUUCACGUUUUCAGACAUUUAUUUAAAUAGAUCGUGUAGAUGCCGGAAAUAGGGUGAAAACGAAACGGCGGCGCCGUUAAAUUCCCCGGCACGUGCGAAUUACGUGCGGAGUACGUUUUUCCGACGAUAUAUAUUUUUCGUGACUCGGAAUGUAAUAAAAUUGAGAUCCCGCGCGUCCGCAGGUCUGAAUAAAAGGGUCGCGGCCACGCAGCAAUUGGCGAGCCGACCUAUCCAAUGUCUAUACCUAUGUCCGUGGCGUUUCGCGCCGUGUCGAGUUUUUUUCAAUGCACAUGCGACCGCACGUGCGACAAAGCCGCAUAAUGCAACCCGUCACCGGCCGCACUCUCUCUCUCUCUCUCUCUCUCUCUCUCUCUCUCUCUCUCUCUCUCUCUCUCUCUCUCUUUCCUCCGCUGCGCGUGCAGCAGUUGACGUUCUCACGCGCGAGAAUGCCACGUUCUUUCGCAUGACGACGCGACGUCUACACGCUUUUCGCGUUUCCGCCCGUCGGAUCGGAUUUUCCAUAUGCAUCGCCGGGGAAUAUCGUAAGGACGAAUACGUACGCGACGAGGCGGCGAGGGGAUGCGGGGGAAAGAGGAGCAGGAGGAGGAUGGGGUAGAAAACUCACGCCGAGGGAGGGAUCGAUCGAUGCGCUCUCGCCGGUUCGCCCGGAAACUCCGUCCAGAAAUAAGCCGGCGAGGGAAGAAGACGACGACGACGACGACGCGAUGGGGUGGUGUGCGACUACGGCGACGGCGGUUUUAAAUGACAACUCAUGCGAGGAUUCGAUCGUCAAGGACACGCCGGCGGUUUUAUUUUCUCCUUUUAGGGUUUCUAAGGCUCCCUUCCCCCCCCCCCCCGAUUCCGUUCCCUCGAUUCACUUCCGAAACGGAUUAUUUAUUCAUGUAACGUGCUUGCAGUAUCGAUUGAUAUUUAGGCUCCCCGGAGUCGGUGAACCUAAGGAGAAUCUAAUGAUGGAAUAAAUAAUUGAAGUAUCUUUUUAAUUUCUUAUUAAUCACUUUCCUUUUUAACCAGCGAAUCUCGGCGUGUUUCUAUGCAAAAUAAUUAUCAGAUUAGGAUUAGACAAUGAAAUAAUGUGAUAAUUGCGUCUCAGUUGCGCAUUUUUAUAAUUUAUGACGGUUCGACAGCUGCAGUUAUUUGUCACAAUUAUUUACUGUUGUUAUCAUUAUUAUAAUCAUAUAUUUUAUUGUUACUUUAUCAGUGUUGCAUAUAUUAAUAUUGUAUUUGGAUUAAUUUCAUCAUUUGUAAUCAGUAUUAUUUUGAGUUUAAUUUUAUCAUUCGUAAUCAGUGCGCGCUCAUUAUCUCGAAAAAUGUGCAUACUACUAGUGGUAUUGUAUCACUCUUCUCCCCCCUUCUCUUUCUCUUUCUCUUUCUUCCUCGCAACAAUUCUUAGAAUUAUAUCAAACUUGAAGUAAACUUCUUCUCCCAUCAAACAAACUCGUUGAAUUCUCAUUAAACAUUUCUCCUGCAUUUUGUAACUAUAUGUGCUUCGGUUGUAUAUUAUUUAUAUCUUACAUCUAUUUAGUACGUUACCAGCAGUCGCAGCUUUCCCCACAACUUACAUCUCGAAAUAAAUAUUUUCUUCCACUCGAAGUCACCGAAUUUCUCGUGCACUUUACCUCCCUGCAUUUCACUGCAUUUCGUGAUUGCAUGUAAUAGUCGUGCGUUAUAUGUGUGAUGUUAUAUACGUGACGCUCUUCGUCGCGGCACUCCAACAACGCGUCGUCGUUCCAAGAACGAAAUGGCCCAUCGUAAUUCCCCGAUUAUAGCGCGUUCGUCCAAACGGCUGAGCGCCGUGGAUCAAAUCGGCGACUUUCAGGUUUCUGGAGCACUUGGACGCACCGUUUUAAAGGUCGGCGCCCUGUUCUCCCCCCUGGCGCCCUGUUCUCCCCCCUGGCGCGACUAACUUAUACGCUCGUCGCUCGAUAUCCCGAAGCUGUUGUUAGGUCGGGCUUGAGGAGACUUCUCGAUGAACGAAAAUUGCAGCACAAUCCACUCGCCGUCACGGUAAGAUAGCUCUUGUUAAGGAUGAAUUGAUGAAAAUUAUGCAAUCGGUAACUCAACGAGAAUGCGCCUUUCUUCCCUGGAGGAUCUCGUCCGGACUGGAAUAAUUUUGUCUUACGAAAGAAAACGAGCAAGAUGUAGCCUGAAUUAUAAAUGCAAUGUUCAAUCUCAGUUUUAAACGGAAAUGUUUUAGACGUCAACAACUUUUUAAGCACGCUAUUAAAAUAGUUUUCUCACAGAUCAAUCUUGAAGAGUGAAAAUUCAGAAUAAAAUAUCAUUCCUCGUUUAAUUUCAAAUAAACUUUUAAUAGGCUUGACAAAGUUUAACAGACUUCUAAUUCAAAGUUCAGUUAUAAAGAUUUAAAUUCUUUGAAGUAGUAAUGUAUUGUAAUCUUCUUCUUGUCUUCCAACAAAAUAGAUUUAAUAUGAUAAUAUUAUAAGUAGUACAGAAUUUCAUGUAUAAAUUAUGAAAUAAAAAAUAUUUUCUUAGAAAACUUUUUUUAUAAAUGUUUAAAUUAAAUCUUGUACGUGAAAAUCCUAUUAUAAGAUGUGAAAAAAGAGAUCAAUUUUCAAAAAAUUAAUAGUUUUAUAAUACUCUAUCGCUUUUUGUUAAAAAGAAAGUUUAUGUCAAACCAGUUAAAGUCUAUAAAUCUUGAACGAAGGGUUUCGUGAAUGUGUCUUUCAUUCUCACUUUUAGGUUCAUGCGACCGUCACUUUUGCCUGACCCUACUCCCGACAACGUGUGAAAGACUCGAGAGGCACUUCGAGCCGACGACGACCGAACUAUUGAUAGUACUACCAACGUGGCCUUUAAGCGAUUCGUCUUAGCCCCGCUUUCUUUUUCAGGCGCGUCUAUUUGACUUUCAACGUGGGCACGAACAACGUGCGCCCACUCGCGUCCUCGUCGCCGUAGAUUCUCCAGUUUAGCUUGAGAAUUCCAAUUAAUUGGAGCUUGACGCAAAAAAUCGCGCCUCUAUACCUCACUGACAGAUGCAUAAUACCCAUCCGUUCGAAUCGACCUAGUCGUGAUGCAAUGCAGCUAACGGCUAACGAGCUGCAAGAGACAUUUCUAUAGAACUAUGCUUCGUAAUACCAAUGCAGGACAACAAGAUCUCGUAUUUCAAGAAUAGAUCUAUUAAUUAUCUGAGAGAUUACUCUCUAACUUAAGAAAGAUAUGUAUUGCUUAUUGUGAAAUACCUCUGAAAGCACUUUAUUUAAAACGUUAGAAAGCUAUUAUUAUAUUUUAUGUAUGAGAGAGAGAGAGAGAGAGAGAGAGAGAGAGAGAGAGAGAGAGCGCAAUUUUGUUAUUAUUUUUACGGCGAAAACGUUUUACAUACUUGGAUUUGCAGCAAAAUGUUGCUUAUAUUGAAGAAAAAUAUAACAUUUUAAUGAGGUCUUAGGAGAGGAUUUAGGCAAUGGCAUUCAGCAAGUCUCCCUUAUCUCUGUGUAAGGAAUACUUUCAAAAUACUUUUUUAAAACACAUUUUUAAAAUAAAAUAAAACUGACGAUUGUUGUGGUGUAUUCAUUGUGGUCGUAUAAUAUAUUGUACGUUUUUGCAUCGGGAAAAAAUAUAUGCACAAUAUAUGGAAAAUCAAUUUUCUAAAUUACUUGAAUGCGGAAAUUUAUUGGUAAUUCCGAUGAAGCAUGAAAUUGCCUUUGGUAUGUUAUUCUGCCGGUUGGAACGUAAAUUGCACUUCAGUCUAACCAGUCCCGAGUUAAGUACGUCUGGCGCAUAAACGUAUUAAGCGAUUAAACGCAUUUAAGAUUACAAGCAAGGAUUAAUAAAAGCAAGAAAUAAAUAAAAAUAAAAACUUAGAACAAAAAAAAUAUAAUAAAUAAUGUCUAUAAGAACCGGUAUAGCUUGCUCACGUAAAGAUAAGAUUUAUUGUUACAUAAAUAUCAUUGAGUAAUUAUUACAAAAUUUUCAUAAAAUUUCCACUCGUUAUUAGAUUCUCUUCGCUUAUACAUAGAUACUAAGUAUAAAAACCUGCAAUAAGGCAAGACGUGUACUUUAAUAAUGUAAUAAUUUUGACUCAUUAAUAGUUGUGCAAUAAUAAAGCUAAUUAAGUUCCACAUUUUAUUGACAAAAUUUAGAAAGAAAGGUGAAAAUUUUGGCUAAAACAUAAACAUAAGAAAUUGAUUUUAAAAGGUACUAGUAAGCGUUAUUAAUUAUACAUUGUAUUGUUGAUUAAUAACGCAUGAUAUAGUAUGCACAUUGUCAUUAUUAUCAAUCAUUAAUUAAUGUCAAUAUUCAUAAUACUACUAACUAGCAUGUCAAUCGAGUAGAAAAUUAAAUUAAAAAUGCAAGGGAUUGAGAAAGCAAAGGAUCUAAUCACCAGCGAUAAACAUUGGCAACAACAGAGGAAACGCGACAAGAGCGUACGUUGUUAAACCGCGAACUCAAUCACGAAAAUUCACCGUUGGCCCCACCGAAACGAGUUGUGUACACGUUUCGGCGUAAUUACGCUCCCCGAUAUUGUAUUCUUGGUCGCAUUAGCAGCUGUGAUUUUCGAUAGGGAGUAUGCCGCGCACACAAGAGAGCGCGAUCGAUAGUUACAAUAUGGUUGCUGUACACAUGCAUCGCGCGAUACAUACGUUGGCUUAACACCGAGCAAACUUCUCAAUUAGUACCCUCUUUCCUCGUAUUAAAGAUGGAGUACAAUUUAUUUGUUCCAUGCGCGCAAAAUUAAUUAUUAACUGCAGACAGCGCGAUAUCGUAAACGGAAUUGUCGCCUCGUUUCCGCGAGUAUCGUGUCCCGAGGGCAUUAAAAUUACACGGAUAAAUUCGGCGAAAUGAGCAGUAGUUGUAAUUUUGCAGACAAUUAACAGCGUUUUCUAGAACAAGCUUCGUUUUGUACUAGAAAGUGCCUUCGAAGCAAAUGAAUGUCUGUUAAUGUCGUAUAAACAUGAAGUAAAUCCUAAUAUAAUUAGAAAGAGAAAUUGUUGCACAAAAUUCCAGAACAUUAUUUCGCGAAAUAUCGCGAAUAUACAUUCGUCUGAGUAAAAUGAUUAAGCCUUGUUGUUUCACACCGGUAUAAUAAUUUCCUCUACAGUGCGUAAUUUUUAAUAAGUCUAUCUAAGUGAAAAUUGUAGCUGCAUAAAAAUAAAACGAUGCCUUCUAAAUCUCAUAGAGUGAAAAAUCAUUCGAAAAAAUUUGCACAAGCUUGAUUUUCACUCUUUUAAAGAGCGACAAUAUAUUAAUUUAUAUAAAAAGAGAUAAAUACGUAAGUUAUAAAGAAUACAAUGCAACUGUAUUACUUUUCAAGGUAGUGCAAGUUUUUAAUACAAAAAAAUUUAUGACACUAGAAAUAUAAAUUCAAUAAUGUCAAAAUAUAAGUAACAAAAGAAUAAUUAUGAAAACAAUGUUUUUUUUAUAUUAAUAUUUCAACACAUUUUCUAUUUCGAAAAACCUCAACACACAUGUUGCGGAACAUAUAUAACAUAACGUCUUUACGCUUAUGUGCAAAAUGUAUUAUGUAGAACAUUCGUGUUAUAGAAUAAGAAGGUUCCUCGUUCGAGACGUUUUAAUAUUAAAACAAUCAGCGGAAGGGCGCGCCUUCUGAGAGAGACGUGAUGGGUUGGUCGCGCUUGUUUACCGAUAGUUCGACAGGAAGUUGAAGUAGCGCAUACUUUAGCGUGGCAAAGGCAUCGCGAGAGAGCUACCACAGAUGUGUCGAUAGAUCCGCGUGUUCAUAACCGCGAGUGAGCAUACAAACGAGCGAGCGAGCGAGCUUCCUCGUUGCCGCAAGAGAGACGACGACGAUCCGGAGCUACGGCCCUGGAAAAUUGCUCCGCUUCGGUCGAGAGAAAGAGAGAGAGAGAGAGAGAGAGAGCGACAGAAACGUAAAGGGGUGGUUGCCGUGUGCCGCUGCCGGUGUCUAUUAAUGUCGCGGGCCUAUUUCCGGAUAUAUCUCGUGGUUGCCGUGCGAAAAUUUACCUCCCUCUCGCGCGAAACGGAAAAUCGAUCGAUACCCGCGUGCCCGCGGGUCGAACACGGGGUGAAGAUGGAACGCGAGCGCGAACGAGUGCCGCGUCGAUUCGGUAAUGAAAAAUAAGAAACAAAAGACGACGAGUGCCAAAGAAGAGCGUAGAUUCUCUCUCGCAGAAAACGGCACUUUAGAUAAGAUUGCUAUUUCCGUGGUGCAUUCCGAAAGUCAGCGACUGUGCCGUCUUGAUUCCUAAUUUUAGUAAUUAAUGCGUGGCGUAGUGUUAAUCACAUAAUCUAAAAUCAUUUAUAAAUCGAACGUCGCAUUUUUGUCGUUCAAAUUGAAAAUAUUAUAUUUAUUUUGAAUUUUAAUUAAAUAUCUUAAUCGUUUCCUUGUUAUACCUCACAUCGCAUAAAUAAUGAAGAAUAGAGCAACAGUUAUAUAUUACACAUCAUCAUAAAUCACACGCAUAUAUUAAAGAUACUAAAACAAUAUCUUUAAUCAAGGGAAGUACAUUUUCUUUUUAAUAUAAUUUGUAAUAUAGAAAUGAAAAUUUCAUAAUGCAUAAGCUUCAUACCGUAAAACGUAGCAUUUGCAUAAUGCAUCAGCUGAAGAUUCUUUUAUUCAUGGCUUUCCGUCGUCUUGCCAUUUUCAACUCCAGCUUCGUCUAUUUUUAUUUACAUUUAAGCUUUCAUUUCGUCAUACGGAUUAAUUUUGGGGCGGUAUAGCGAUAUUACAUGUAUAUAAAUGUAGCGUUUUAGACUGACGGCGUACUUUACAAGCGAGACUUAUAGACUAUAGACGAGCCAUCCAAUCUAUCGAUAGAUGAAAGACGCGAUUUCCGGUAUCGUAUAGCACUGGAUAAACGCUCAUGCUGCGGGAGCUUAAGAUACACGAACGGUGCGCGCGGGUAUAUCGGAUAAAUGGACAAAUUGCUCGAUUGCAAGUCGCAGCACGGCCGACCGAUCGAUGCCGCUGUGAAGAUUUCACAGUUACAGGAUGUAUCGCGAGCGAGAUAUCAAUUUUAUCCCGCCGCAAUCGCGAGUACACUUUGUGAAACGUAAUAUUGCAUUAGAUCAUCAAGAGACAUUCCUGAGAUAGCGUCAUGCGGUUAAUUCAUUACGUGAAUAUAUACGAUGCAGUGCAGCAACUGGAUAUACAACGAAUGACAUAAUUCGCUUGAAGAAAUCGCGAUGUCGAUUUGAGGGCCGUUAAUCCGGGGGAUGGAUAGGUGACGAAAUGGGACACGACUGAAGUCGAGUCGCGGUAUCUCAGAGAUCUGAAAUGGAAAAUCACGAGGGAAGGUACGCCGCCGUCUACAACAACGUCUUGAGCCGUUUAUUUCAAACGUGAUAUAUGUGAGCCGUUGAAAAUACUUCGAAAUAGAUAUAUCCGCAAAAUGCAUCCGUAUUAUUUAUAUAUUUUUUUUUUAUUUAUUGAAAUAUGACUUUACCGUACAUAUCAUUCGACGGAGACACAUAAAUUCAAUAAAUCCAAAAUCGUUUUAUUGUAUUAAUUCUAUUCCUUUCUAAAAACUACAAUUUUUGCCAGAAAAUUUGCUUGUGUUACAUUUGUUUAAAUUUUGUGUAUUUUUAAUUUAUAAAAGAAAAAGUUAAAUAAACAUUAAAAGGAAUUAAUAUAAAAAAAUAUACACGUAUUAUUAUAUAUUGUAUUCUUGUAUUCAAAAUACAAAGAAGCGAACAAAUUUUAUCUUUCAUUGAAAUUGGGUCUUGCUUCAAUAUCAGUUAAAUUAAAUCAACCCAACCUACAAAAAAUGAGAUAUUAACUUGAAAAUAAAGAUUACAAAAGUGAAACACAUAAUUCCGUGUAUAUCUAUGGCCCUGUCAUAUGGUAUAAUAUCAUAAAAUGGUGAAUCUUUGGACGGAGAGUAUUAAUGUAAGAAGUUCCUCCAAGAAGUUCCUACCACGAAAAACAAAGCUGAUCGGUAAGACAUCAUCUUACACGUUAUUUGUCCUCUCUCAUUGUAUACGCUUCUGAUACUUUUGAAGUAUAUCUCGUGUCAUCUGAGCUCCCUCGGCGAUGUCAUUCGGAGCAAUGACUUACAACGCGCGCAUUCCUUUGAAGUGUUUGCCUAUGUGUUAUUUAUUCCUCGUCCCACGUACCCCCGCGUGUACGUCUUGGGGUCACAACUCGACCGAAUUCUCGUUCUUUGUCGUCCGCGCAUAGGAGAUAAUACAAAAAGAUCCCUCGGGUGAUGUCUCACCUAAAUAAUCCCUGCAGUCUCCCCGGCGAGGAUCAAGAAAUACCUCGUUAAAAAUCACAUAAUUAACUGCACACUAAUGUCAUACGCCAAUAUUUUAUUAUUCGCUUUUAAUUCGUCUAUCUAUUUGUUUAGAGACAACUAUAACGAAGCUAUGAGUCUAUCUUCCCGUCUUUGAUACCGUCUAUCAAGCAAGAUUUACAUUUAAAUUUCUGCAGGGGCUUUAGACGACGUUGAUGCGUGUCUUCCGUAUGCGUACAUCUCUGAGAUAUCAUUAAUUCUGAUUAUCCAUAUGGAAUCGACCAAUUGACGUCUGACCUACAAUCUCGUAAUUCACUCAAUGCGUUUCAGCUCGAUUUAAUCUCUGUAAUCAAUCAUGUAAAAGAAGUCGAUACAAUUAGAUGAUGAAAGGUCUCUUAGACCGCUUCUUUUUCUUUUUUUAGAAUCCCUUUAAAAAGUUUUUUAAAUUUAUAUACUUAAUUAUCUAAUAACACAAAAAAUUUAAAAAAAUUUUAUGUUAAAAUUAAUGUUUUAUCCAUUUUGCGUACAAAUAAAAGAUAAAUUUUAUAAAGUCACUUCAUACAUCCCAUGUUAAACUUAACUCGCUCAAUAUCAAACAACAUUUAAUUCAAUCAACAUCUACAGAACAAGAUUGCCUUGUAUUUUUUUUUAUCGCUUUCAAAUAGUGUAUCAAUAUAAAAUUAAUCUGAAGAAAAGUUGAGAGAAAGAAAAGCCGCAUAAAAUUGUUUUAUGGAAAAUUGUCUCGCCUCGGAAGAUAUUCUCUUGAAAAAACGGCUAGUUAUUCGAGAGAAGAUGAAGAAAGAAAAAGGGCAGACAGCGUGAAUCGUCGAGUAAAGAACGAAUAAAAGAUUGCCAGCUGACUCGCGUCUGUCGCGUCUGAAAUCACCGCCUCGCCGACGAAGAAAUUAUUGGCCAUGCGGCCGAUAAAAUUGAGCCGCUCCCUCCCCCCUUGCUUCUUUCACGCUCGAAUGCUUCGAUCCACGGCAAGACCGGAUAUCGAUCCUUGAUUCUUGUUCUGAGCAUUUCAACGACUUCUGUAUAACUCGAGAGACUUAACUGUGAGUAUAUAUUAGGCAAUAUUUAAAAUUUAAUGCACAAAAUAUCGAAAAGAAAAUGUAUCUAUUCAAUAACUGUCAUUGGAAGAGCCUCGGUUUGCUGACGCCCGAGACCUACCAACUAUUGCGUAGUCUAAUUUGAAAGUCUAACUAAAAGGUCAAAUUUAUCUUUUCUAUAGAGUAGAGAAUUUUGAAUUUUGAUAAGUUCAGACUUUUUCACAGAAAACGUGCAGAAAUCUCUUCAUUUAUUAUUAAUCUGACAGCUAGCUGAAAUAAAUAAAUUAUUCCGUAUAAAUCGGACUGAUAAAAUCUGGUGAAAUAUGUAUUUCCAUAUUUAUAGAAUUGAAAAUAAAAACUUGUUUAAAAUUAUUAAAACAAUUAACAAUUCUCUUUUUUUUUACACAAAGGAUAUAAACUCAAUGUAUUAAUUCAUUCGACACGUAUUUUCCGCUUAUUACCAUUUACGUUCAAUACAUCAAAGUGUUAAUUAUUCCAUCGCAAUAAUUUAUUGGCAAUUUUAAUCAUUAGUUAGAUCCAAACGAUUUUUAUAAAAAUAGAUAAAUUUUAUUUUAACUUUAUUUUUCAAAAUAAAUUCUCAUAAAAAUUUUACAGACUCUCUUCCAUAAAAACGUCCUUUCUUAAGUGUAGAUGUAUUUCGCCUCGAAUCAAUGUCUAAGCACCGAUACUGGGUCAUCGCGGCACGGUUCGAUGAACGCGAUGUUCACAUAAGGCCGGUUUCUUAAGCUCGUGAAGAGCGCCUAAGCGUACUGAAUACCGAUGAGGCCUUCGCAUUGUCAAGUGACGUUCCAGUUCCGCUUACGCAUUUUUUUUUUCAUCCGUAUACGACAGAAAAAAAAGAGAGAGGGAGAAAGGAGAUGUUAGAGAGAAACAUUUCACGUGCCACACGUCUUACGUAGUCAAUCCGUUCGGUCAGUAAAUAAAUUGUUCGAGCCAAGAGAAAUCGAUAAUUCACCAACUUGCUUCAAGGUACAGCGUUUCAUAUUUGCAUUUGAACUUUUUCAUAGCGAUAUUAAAAAGUUAUUUCACCUUAUAAAUAGCGUAACAUGGAACAAUUGCAGGUUGACAUUUAAGAUGCUCGUCAGAAGGAGAGUAGUAGGCUAAGUGCAUAAUUUGCGAAAUAACGUAGUUCAAAGCACAAGAACAAAAUACAUAAUUAACAAGUCCCUAAAUAAAGGAUCUCCCUGCUAAAGUAGAGAAAUACGGACUCAUAAAUUAUGGACUUAAGAUCGUCCAUCUACCAACAAGUCGUUCGGCGCUAACUUUAAGUAAAUUCGCCUUUUCUCAGCCGUUCACAAGAUACAGCUAUAAUCUAAAAAGGGACAGGACGGACUGCCUAAGCCCGGAUUUACUUUAUUCAACUGUCGGCGCACUGCCAGAGCCCUCAUUCUACUCUUAAUUCAAAACGCGCCGCAAAUACCGUACAGCAGGAAACUGCGCGCCGUGUUUCAAUGCUACGUCAUUAACCGUUGGAAAGUGGUCCCAUCGCUCCCGCACCUCUUUGUUCACCAGUGUGAUUAAACUUCGUCCCGGCGUUACUUUUAUGCGCCGUAGUCGUUACGCUCUCGCUCUCGAUUGUCGCGUGUAAGAGCAGCAGGUUCGCAAAUUCCGGCCCUACGCUCGCCCGAUUACAAUCAAGAAUAUUCGCGCGAGAGGAUUAAGUGUUCUGGAACUAACAAACCGCAACAAAACGCGAUCCUUUCUCUCUUACUGUUGUAAGAAAAUAUACACUUUACAAAGCUAAUAAUGCGAUCGCAAUUUACGUACUUCAAACAAAAUUUUUCAUUUUUAUCGUGCAUUUAUUCCUCUUGUACAAUUUAGAAACUCCCAACGAAGCAAUAAUUGUGUAUUUGUAUUGUUUUUAUGUAAAAAAGGGGGUAAAAGGUAAAACAAGAGCGAAUUUAUUAAAACCAAGCGAUUAAUAUUUUAAACUGACAUGAGAAAAUCAAGAUCAUAUACGAUAUCAAUCCCUCAAGGGCGCGUAACAGCAAUUUGAUAGCGUUUCCGCCCCUUCCCUCUGUGAUCAUUUCGCGUCCAAUUAUUUCGCGGAGGCAACGUGCGCCGCACCUCGUUACGGUCUAAAAUCGGGGAAACAGCGAAUAAGUGGCGCAGCGUGCAGAAAGAGAGA